UGGGAANUUAAACCUCUUCCAGAGUAUCAAUUGGAGGGCAAGUCUGGUGCCAGCAGCCGCGGUAAUUCCAGCUCCAAUAGCGUAUAUUAAAAUUGUUGCAGUUAAAAAGCUCGUAGUUGAAUUUCUGCUGCAUUGCUUUUGCUCCUUUACGAGUCUUUGCAUUGUGGCUUAUUUCGGACUUUGUUUUACAAUGUCCGGAUGUUUACUUUGAGAAAAUUAGAGUGCUCAAAGCAGGCUUUCGCCUUGAAUAGUUUAGCAUGGAAUAAUAAAGUAGGACUUUGGUUCUAUUUUGUUGGUUUUAGGUACCAAAGUAAUGGUUAAUAGGAACAGUUGGGGGCAUUCGUAUUUAACUGUCAGAGGUGAAAUUCUUAGA
This 373-nucleotide ribosomal RNA is filed under the name Theileria ovis. RNAcentral's name for it is "SSU rRNA". It matches the Rfam family "Eukaryotic small subunit ribosomal RNA", at positions 518 to 924 of the family's 1831-position model. Lineage: Eukaryota; Apicomplexa; Aconoidasida; Piroplasmida; Theileriidae. The record is from RNAcentral.